This 315-nucleotide ribosomal RNA is filed under the name Triticum aestivum (bread wheat). Its description in RNAcentral is "partial small subunit ribosomal RNA". The record is from RNAcentral. Lineage: Eukaryota; Viridiplantae; Streptophyta; Magnoliopsida; Poales; Poaceae.
AUGCACCGAAGGUUAAGGAAGCCAGGAUUGAAAUCCCUCUAUGAGAUUUGUGUUCGCACGCAGCAGACUCUGGAAAGACACAUCAAGAUGGAUAGAAAAGAAAAGGUGGAAUUGAUGACUGAGCUGAAUCUGAUUCAUAAUCACACUCAUCAAAUUCUUCUGCAUGAUAAGAAUGCAAGGAAUUGCUCAUGGAACUUGUUGAGAAAGAACUAUUCUCACAAGGAUUUAGCUAAAAAGGGCCUCCUCAAGGAGUAUGACUACCUGGACUUGCUUGCUGUUCCGCACAUCCGAAGACAAACUCCAGUGCUCCCAUAA